GUUCAGUCCUUUAACACACACUGACACACAGCACAAUGAUGAUGUCACUCAUUCUACUGCUGGGGACACUGGGACUCCUCACUCAGGCCUGGAGAUCCUGGAAAAGCUGCUGAGGAAAUACUGUGUUAAACUGUCCAGACAGCAACUGUUCCAGUUACCCCAGACCCAGUCCAGAGUUCCUCUACAGAUCUUCAUACUCACUGUCCAACCCUGAAACAAGGCCCUGCCUGGAGGUGGGAUAUAAGGAAGUGUUUUGGAGGAAUAAAAAAGAGAAAGAUGAUAUUUUGGACAUCUGUUUGUGUCAGUUUUGAUAUUUGAUUUGGUGCUUGGCUUCUUUUCCCACUUACUCUGAUUCUGAGCUUGUUUGAUCCCUCUAACUUGGCCACUGUUGUAAAUUUGUAUAUAGUAUGUAUGUAUUUGUGUGUGCUCUGGAAAGCAGGGAAGGCCUGCCCUUAUGUUUGGGCCCUGGGUUAUUUUGUCUGUGUUAUCACUUAGGGAGUUAAUGUAGUCUUAUCUUAGUAUAGGAUAUUAUCAGAGGAUGGUUGUGAUCCAUCAACCUCUGGGUUAUGGUCCCAGCACACUUCCACUGCACCACUCUGCUCUCCUGCUAAUAGAGAAAUAAUAAAAUACCUACAAACUCA
Electrophorus electricus (electric eel) is the source of this 641-nucleotide non-coding RNA. NCBI's taxonomy places the organism in Eukaryota, Metazoa, Chordata, Actinopteri, Gymnotiformes, Gymnotidae. The record is from RefSeq and is a predicted model, not a curated record.